UGUAUCCACGUUCCAAAUGAAAGUUCCAACGUUCCAUUGGGCAACGUGAGCUCGACGCCUGGUGAUUGGCUGCUCUUGUUUCAACCCUGCCCUCUGACCGCAUGUACCACUAGCACUGCUAAGGGAAUUGCUCAUUUUAUAUCAAGCCUUGCAUUCUCCUUAAUGAGGAACCAUUAAACCAUUCAAGCCUUUUUCCAAACUUAAGCCGUUGUUCUAAAUUGUUGCAUGCAUCACUUCGAUGGUGCACUGAGUUUUAUUCCCUGCUGGACGUUUGCUUUCUCCCUCACCUCCUUUCAAGUUGCAAGGAUUGCCUUCGAAAGGGUCAUUUUUUUCUCUCUGAGCGGAAGCGUGGCUAGCUGCAAGGGGAGAGGCAGAAGCAGAGUGCUUGUUGGAGAAGCUUCACCAAACUGAAAAUAGCAAUGGAGUGUCAACGUUGGUUACCAUUGGAAGCGAAUCCUGAUGUCAUGAACCAGUUCAUGCAACAACUAGGAUUGCUGCCCACCUGGCAAUUUGGUGACGUUUUUGGAAUGGAUCCUGAACUCCUGAGUUUGGUGCCACGACCCGUUUGCUCGAUCCUUUUACUCUUCCCAGUUACA
Molecule: long non-coding RNA, 596 nt
Organism: Rhincodon typus (whale shark)
Lineage: Eukaryota; Metazoa; Chordata; Chondrichthyes; Orectolobiformes; Rhincodontidae
Exons: 3
Source: RefSeq, a predicted model, not a curated record